UGUGACCGCAUCAGGGCAGUUAGUAGAUGCCCCUCUGGGAGAGAUCCCCAGGGGUGACAGCCAUGGACCCUGGAAGGGCCUGGGCUAGGGACAGGGACCAGAGCCAGUCCAGGGAGAGGACAGAGCCAAUGGACUGGGGUGUACUGUAACAGCCCUGCUGGCGAGAGGGACCAGGGCACCGUCCUCCAGGGAGCCCAUGCUGCAAGUCGGGCCAGAGGUGCCCCUGACCCUGAAGGCCAAUGAGACCCAAGACAGGCCAAGUGGGUUGUGAGACCCCUGAGGAGCUGGGCCCUGGUCCCAGGCAGCGCUGGCCCCUGCUGCUGCUGGGUCUGGCCAUGGUCGCCCAUGGCCUGCUGCGCCCAAUGGUUGCACCGCAAAGCGGGGACCCAGACCCUGGAGCCUCAGUUGGAAGCAGCCGAUCCAGCCUGCGGAGCCUGUGGGGCAGGCUCCUGCUCCAGCCCAGCCCCCAGAGAGCAGACCCCAGGUGCUGGCCCCGGGGGUUUUGGUCUGAGCCUCAGUCACUGUGUUAUGUCUUCGGAACUGGGACCAAGGUCACCGUCCUAGGUCAGCCCAAGGCCAACCCCACAGUCACCCUGUUCCCGCCCUCCUCUGAGGAGCUCCAAGCCAACAAGGCCACACUAGUGUGUCUGAUCAGUGACUUCUACCCGGGAGCCGUGACAGUGGCCUGGAAGGCAGAUGGCAGCCCCGUCAAGGCGGGAGUGGAGACCACCACACCCUCCAAACAGAGCAACAACAAGUACGCGGCCAGCAGCUACCUGAGCCUGACGCCUGAGCAGUGGAAGUCCCACAGAAGCUACAGCUGCCAGGUCACGCAUGAAGGGAGCACCGUGGAGAAGACGGUGGCCCCUACAGAAUGUUCAUAGGUUCCCAACUCUCACCCCACCCACGGGAGCCUGGAGCUGCAGGAUCCCAGGGGAGGGGUCUCUCUCCCCAUCCCAAGUCAUCCAGCCCUUCUCCCUGCACUCAUGAAACCCUAAUAAAUAUCCUCAUUGACAACCAGAAA
Non-coding RNA from Pan troglodytes (chimpanzee), 1024 nucleotides. The record is from the annotation of a RefSeq genome assembly. Lineage: Eukaryota; Metazoa; Chordata; Mammalia; Primates; Hominidae.